GACGAACGCUGGCGGCGCGCCUAACACAUGCAAGUCGAACGGAGCUGAGAGGAGCUUGCUUUUCUCAGCUUAGUGGCGAACGGGUGAGUAACGCGUGAGUAACCUGCCCUGGAGUGGGGGACAACAGUUGGAAACGACUGCUAAUACCGCAUAAGCCCACGGUGCUGCAUGGCACAGCGGGAAAAGGAUUUAUUCGCUCUAGGAUGGACUCGCGUCCAAUUAGCUAGUUGGUGAGGUAACGGCCCACCAAGGCGACGAUUGGUAGCCGGACUGAGAGGUUGAACGGCCACAUUGGGACUGAGACACGGCCCAGACUCCUACGGGAGGCAGCAGUGGGGGAUAUUGCACAAUGGGGGAAACCCUGAUGCAGCGACGCCGCGUGGAGGAAGAAGGUUUUCGGAUUGUAAACUCCUGUCGUUAGGGACGAUAAUGACGGUAC
Molecule: ribosomal RNA, 439 nt
Filed under: uncultured bacterium
Lineage: Bacteria
Description: bacterial SSU rRNA
Rfam family: Bacterial small subunit ribosomal RNA
Source: RNAcentral